GGCUAUGCCAAACCAAAGCCAAGCAGGAAGAGGCCUGAUCUCCUCACUCCUGACUCGCUUGAAUAUCCUGCACACACCUUCUGCUUGUGAAAGGGACCAGGAACUGAAGGCAAGGAAACCCCUAGGGAUGCAGGCCCAAAACAGGUGUGAAAGGACAGAGAAGGUUGGAGAGCAGAGCUGGAGGGGGAAAAUGGAGCAUAAAAGGAACAUAAAGUGGUGAGUGAA
Molecule: long non-coding RNA, 225 nt
Filed under: Marmota monax (woodchuck)
Lineage: Eukaryota; Metazoa; Chordata; Mammalia; Rodentia; Sciuridae
Source: RNAcentral